AUCCAGAGCUGACUGUGCUCCUUUUUUUUUUUUGUGGGGGCCUAGUGUGCAAUGGCUGCAAACAGCAGCCUCCUUGGUAGUGUGCACAGCCUGUUGCAUGUAUGGGUUUCCAAUGGAUGUUCAUGUCUCUG
Cynocephalus volans (Philippine flying lemur) is the source of this 131-nucleotide small nucleolar RNA. RefSeq annotates it as small nucleolar RNA SNORA70. The transcript has a single exon. The record is from RefSeq and is a predicted model, not a curated record. NCBI's taxonomy places the organism in Eukaryota, Metazoa, Chordata, Mammalia, Dermoptera, Cynocephalidae.